Molecule: ribosomal RNA, 253 nt
Filed under: uncultured bacterium
Lineage: Bacteria
Description: partial 16S ribosomal RNA
Rfam family: Bacterial small subunit ribosomal RNA
Source: RNAcentral
GACAGAGGGUGCAAACGUUGUUCGGAAUUACUGGGCGUAAAGCGCGUGUAGGCUGCUCUGCAAGUCGGGUGUGAAAGCCCCGGGCUCAACCUGGGAAGUGCACUCGAAACUGCAGAGCUCGAGUUCUGGAGAGGAAGGCGGAAUUCUCGGUGUAGAGGUGAAAUUCGUAGAUAUCGAGAGGAACACCGGUGGCGAAGGCGGCCUUCUGGACAGUGACUGACGCUGAGACGCGAAAGCGUGGGGAGCAAACAGG